GAUGAACGCUGGCGGCGUGCCUAAUACAUGCAAGUCGAGCGAACAGACGAGGAUUUUGCUCCUCUGACGUUAGCGGCGGACGGGUGAGUAACACGUGGAUAACCUACCUAUAAGACUGGGAUAACUUCGGGAAACCGGAGCUAAUACCGGAUAAUAUAUUGAACCGUAUGGUUCAUUAGUGAAAGACGGUUUUGCUGUCACUUAUAGAUGGUUCCAGGCCGGAUUAGCUAGUUGGUAAGGUAACGGCUUACCAAGGCGAGGAUGCGUAGCCGACGUGAGAGGGUGAUCGGCCACACUGGAACUGAGACACGGUCCAGACUCCUACGGGAGGCAGCAGUAGGGAAUCUUCCGCAAUGGGCGAAAGCCUGACGGAGCAACGCCGCGUGAGUGAUGAAGGUCUUCGGAUCGUAAAACUCUGUUAUUAGGGAAGAACAGAUGUGUAAGUAAAUAUGCACGUCUUGACGGUACCUAGUCAAAAAGCCACGGCUAACUACGUG
This 497-nucleotide ribosomal RNA is filed under the name uncultured bacterium. Its description in RNAcentral is "partial 16S ribosomal RNA". It matches the Rfam family "Bacterial small subunit ribosomal RNA", at positions 28 to 507 of the family's 1533-position model. The record is from RNAcentral.